This 421-nucleotide small RNA is filed under the name Dysidea cf. pallescens GW33537. RNAcentral's name for it is "partial large subunit ribosomal RNA". Lineage: Eukaryota; Metazoa; Porifera; Demospongiae; Dictyoceratida; Dysideidae. The record is from RNAcentral.
AAAAGAACUUUGGAGAGAGAGUCAAACAGUACGUGAAACCGUCGGGAGGGAAACGAACGAGGUUGGUGCAGUGAUUGCGCAGGCUCAGGCUCGGCCGAAGGUGCCGACGGGGUGACCAGAGCGUCCCCCGGCGUCCGCCGGAGGCAGAGCCGUACUCCUCGCGAGCACGGACCAGCGGCGGUUGGAGCGGGACCAGAAGGCCGCAGGUACGGUACGUCGGGUCGGGCUCCGGCUCGCCCGACGACUUAUAGACCGGCGUGCCGGCAUUCAGCUCGGACCGAGGAAGGAGGGCAGCUCUUGCCCGGUGUGGUGCACGCCGUAUGGCGGGGCCUCCCGUCGGGGGCGAGCAGUGCUGGGUGGACUGCAUGCAGUGCUCACAGUUACGGCGAACCCACGGUCGGAGAGCGUCACUUGUGCACCA